AUACGUAGGGGGCAAGCGUUAUCCGGAUUUACUGGGUGUAAAGGGAGCGUAGACGGCGAUGCAAGUCUGAAGUGAAAACCCGGGGCUCAACCCCGUGGACUGCUUUGGAAACUGUGUUGCUGGAGUGCAGGAGAGGUGAGUGGAAUUCCUAGUGUAGCGGUGAAAUGCGUAGAUAUUAGGAGGAACACCAGUGGCGAAGGGGGCUCAUGGGACUGUAACUGAGGUGGAGGCGCGAAAGCGUGGGGAGCAAACAGAAUUAGAUCCCCUGGUAGUCCACGCCGUAAACGAUGAAUGCUAGGUGUCGGGGGGCAAAGCCCUUCGGUGCCGCCGCUAACGCAUUAAGCAUUCCACCUGGGGAGUACGUUCGCAAGAAUGAAACUCAAAGGAAUUGACGGGG
RNAcentral lists this ribosomal RNA (397 nucleotides) under uncultured bacterium. RNAcentral's name for it is "partial 16S ribosomal RNA". It matches the Rfam family "Bacterial small subunit ribosomal RNA", at positions 523 to 918 of the family's 1533-position model. The record is from RNAcentral.